This 567-nucleotide ribosomal RNA is filed under the name uncultured Glomeromycotina. RNAcentral's name for it is "SSU rRNA". It matches the Rfam family "Eukaryotic small subunit ribosomal RNA", at positions 548 to 1114 of the family's 1831-position model. The record is from RNAcentral. Lineage: Eukaryota; Fungi; Glomeromycota.
UUGGAGGGCAAGUCUGGUGCCGGCAGCCGCGGUAAUUCCAGCUCCAAUAGCGUAUAUUAAAGUUGUUGCAGUUAAAAAGCUCGUAGUUGAACCUCGGGGUCUACCCAUUGGUCAGGCUUAAUUGUCUGCACUGGUGAGAUGGAUCUCUACCUUCUGAGGAACUUUCAUGCCAUUUAUUUGGUGUGAUGGGAAAUCAGGACUGUUACUUUGAAAAAAUUAGAGUGUUUAAAGCAGACUAUCGUCUGAAUACAUUAGCAUGGAAUAAUGAAAUAGGACGGACUGAUUCUAUUUCGUUGGUUUCUAGGAUCACUGUAAUGAUUAAUAGGGAUAGUUGGGGGCAUUAGUAUUCAAUUGUCAGAGGUGAAAUUCUUGGAUUUAUUGAAGACUAACUACUGCGAAAGCAUUUGCCAAGGAUGUUUUCAUUAAUCAAGAACGAAAGUUAGGGGAUCGAAGACGAUCAGAUACCGUCGUAGUCUUAACCAUAAACUAUGCUGACUAGGAAUCAGACGAUGUUAGUUUUUUAAUGACUCGUUUGGCACCUUACGGGAAACCAAAGUGUUUGGGUUC